RNAcentral lists this ribosomal RNA (254 nucleotides) under uncultured bacterium. RNAcentral's name for it is "partial 16S ribosomal RNA". It matches the Rfam family "Bacterial small subunit ribosomal RNA", at positions 524 to 776 of the family's 1533-position model. The record is from RNAcentral.
UACGGGGGGAGCAAGCGUUGUUCGGAUUUACUGGGCGUAAAGGGCGCGUAGGCGGUCAGCACAAGUCAGUUGUGAAAUCUCCGGGCUUAACUCGGAAAGGUCAACUGAUACUGUGCGACUAGAGUGCGGAAGGGGCAACUGGAAUUCCCGGUGUAGUGGUGAAAUGCGUAGAGAUCGGGAGGAACACCUGUGGCGAAGGCGGCGUCCUGGACCAACACUGACACUGAGGAGCGAAAGCCAGGGGAGCAAACGGG